AUUGAUUGUUGCUUUUGCUCGAUAUGAGAAAGUCCGAUUCUCUCGUCGUGCUCAUAUGGCAAAGACGGUUGCUUCAUUUGCAAGGAUGACAGUGCAAGAUACAAGAAAAAUCCUUCCACAAGAGUUUUAUCCACCUUGGGUAGUCUUUUCUCAACGCCAGAAGUUGAUGUGGCUCAAUGUGCAGCCCAAAAAGAUUUGGCCAUAUGUUGACGAGGCAUAGGCAGCAAUAGAGAAAAUUAGAGCUAGUGUUGAGUCAACUCUCGAACAAUACACACCGGCUGUCAUAUCAUCUACGAAGUUUGGAAAGUUGACUCUUGGUACCAUUGCUCCACAAUUU
Hibiscus syriacus is the source of this 337-nucleotide long non-coding RNA. RefSeq lists it as uncharacterized. The record is from RefSeq and is a predicted model, not a curated record. The transcript has 4 exons. NCBI's taxonomy places the organism in Eukaryota, Viridiplantae, Streptophyta, Magnoliopsida, Malvales, Malvaceae.